Molecule: long non-coding RNA, 170 nt
Organism: Etheostoma cragini (Arkansas darter)
Lineage: Eukaryota; Metazoa; Chordata; Actinopteri; Perciformes; Percidae
Exons: 2
Source: RefSeq, a predicted model, not a curated record
CUAGCUACUAGUGUAGCACACCCUCAUACUUUGCUUCUGACUGGCUAGUAGUCCUUACCUCGGUACUGCGCAUGUGCGACUCCCAACAAAGAUGGAAGUGUGAGGCUUCACUCUUUAGCUGAAACAGAGAGCUCAACACACAGGUUGAAAAGAAGAGCUGCACCAAUGUG